Molecule: ribosomal RNA, 613 nt
Filed under: Naganishia globosa
Lineage: Eukaryota; Fungi; Basidiomycota; Tremellomycetes; Filobasidiales; Filobasidiaceae
Description: eukaryotic LSU rRNA
Rfam family: Eukaryotic large subunit ribosomal RNA
Source: RNAcentral
AAACUAACAAGGAUUCCCCUAGUAACGGCGAGUGAAGCGGGAAGAGCUCAAAUUUGAAAUCUGGUAGCCUUCGGUUGCCCGAGUUGUAAUCUAGAGAAGUGUUUUCCGCGUUGGCCCAUGUACAAGUCCCUUGGAACAGGGCGUCAUAGAGGGUGAGAAUCCCGUCCUUGACAUGGACCCCCAAUGCUUUGUGAUACACUUUCAACGAGUCGAGUUGUUUGGGAAUGCAGCUCAAAAUGGGUGGUGAAUUCCAUCUAAAGCUAAAUAUUGGCGAGAGACCGAUAGCGAACAAGUACCGUGAGGGAAAGAUGAAAAGCACUUUGGAAAGAGAGUUAAACAGUACGUGAAAUUGUUGAAAGGGAAACGAUUGAAGUCAGUCAUGCUCUUUGGAUUAAGCCGUUCUGCGGUGUAUUUCAUUGAGCGGGGUCAACAUCAGUUUUGAUCGCUGGAAAAGGGCAGGAGGAAGGUAGCACUCUCGGGUGAACUUAUAGCCUCUUGUCGUAUACAGUGAUUGGGACUGAGGGACGCAGCAUGCCUUUUGGCCGGGAUUCGUCCACGUACAUGCUUAGGAUGUUGACAUAAUGGCUUUAAACGGACCCGUCUUGAAACACGG